Molecule: transfer RNA, 65 nt
Filed under: Lipotactes tripyrga
Lineage: Eukaryota; Metazoa; Arthropoda; Insecta; Orthoptera; Tettigoniidae
Description: tRNA-Pro
Source: RNAcentral
CAGAGAGUAGUUUAUAAAAAUAUUAAUUUUGGAGAUUAAUGAUAAGGAUUAAUUCUUCUCUUUGA